GCAACUGAGUGUUCCCUGCAGUUUUGCCGCUGUCAGGGCAGCUUGGCGGUGUUUGGUCGCGAUCUCUCCGUGGUCCUGUCCUCCGCAAUGUUGCAAAAUAAGAGACAAGUGUUUCUCUCUGAGACACGUGUCUCCAUUGCAUAUUCCUUGUGUCUCGUGGAGACUCUAGCAGUCUUUUACCACGAGGAUAAACCAUGCAAAUGACAACU
Molecule: small nucleolar RNA, 209 nt
Filed under: Mnemiopsis leidyi (sea walnut)
Lineage: Eukaryota; Metazoa; Ctenophora; Tentaculata; Lobata; Bolinopsidae
Description: small nucleolar RNA SNORA73 family
Source: RNAcentral